Molecule: long non-coding RNA, 523 nt
Organism: Camellia sinensis
Lineage: Eukaryota; Viridiplantae; Streptophyta; Magnoliopsida; Ericales; Theaceae
Source: RefSeq, a predicted model, not a curated record
GGAGAGGCGACGAACACGAGGGCGAGAGACAAAGACAGAGAGGCGACGGAUGAACACACAUUUGGUUUGACGAGGAUUGACAUGUCAACGAGUUCAAACAAUGAUGCUGGAUUCUUUCAAAAUAAAAGAUGCAAAUCUGGGAAAAAAUGAGGAGUGUACAUAUCAGAAUUAGAGAAAAAUCCAGGGAAGUUGUAUUUCAAGUGUGCAAAUAAGGCUUGUGACUACUUUGUGUGGGGAGUGCCUCCUACUAGAAACAAUGAAGUUGUGAAUAUCUUGGAACGACUUGACGCAAACCAAUGAGAACGACUUGAAGCUAUCAAAUUCAUGAUGUUGACAACCAUAGUGAUGUUUGCUUUUAUCAUGCUAGUGGUGUUGCUCAAGUGAACUUGUAUUUAUACUGAGUGUAAACCACUACUUGUAGAACUUGUAUUUAGUUUUGAAACUUUUAUAUGUGCAUGUACAAUCCAAACAAUGUUUAUUUAAUGAAGUUGCUAUGCUAUGUCAAUUGUGUUAAUUAAUGAAA